This 220-nucleotide long non-coding RNA is filed under the name Elaeis guineensis (African oil palm). RNAcentral describes it as "long non-coding RNA (EGUI_LNC080378)". Lineage: Eukaryota; Viridiplantae; Streptophyta; Magnoliopsida; Arecales; Arecaceae. The record is from RNAcentral.
CCAUGUAUAUGGGGAAGAAUAUGUGCAACAAGCUGAUGCUGAAGAAGAAGUUGUACAGUCUUCGGAAGCAGGAGGGAUCUGAUGUGAUUGGCCACAUUCAGAGGUUCGACCAGUUGUGCAUGGAGUUGGUGAAUAUCGGGGUAAAGCUGGAUGAGGAGGACAAGUCUCUAUUGCUUCUAUGUUCGCUGCCCGGAUCAUUUGAUUCUUUGGUGACUACACU